GGUACAAGUGUUUAAUACCGUUCUUUUAAAGUCUAUAUGCAAUUAGGGUUCGAUUCGGAGAGGGAGCCUGAGAAACGGCUACCACAUCCAGGAAGGCAGCAGGCGCGCAAAUUACCCAAUCCCGACACGGGGAGGUAGUGACAAUAAAUAACAAUACCGGGCCUUUUAGUGUCUGGUUUUGAAAUGAGUAAUUUAAAAUCCCUUAACGAGAAUCCAUGGGGGGGCAAGUCUGGUGCCCCCCCCGCGGUUUCCCCCCUCCAUAGCGUAUUAAAAUUUUUUGCAUUUAAAAAGCUCAUAUUUGAAUUUGGGGCCGGGGGGCCGCCCCUCUCCGGCGAACCGGCCCGGGGCCCCCCCCCCCGGAAACGUUUUUUCCCAAAGGGGCGGGGGGCCUCCGCACUUUUUUAAAAAAUAAAGGGUCCCCCCCCCCUCCUUUGAAAUUUUUAGGGAAAACCAAGUUCCCGGCCUUGGGGAGCCCCCGGGCCAAAAAGGAAAAGGGGCUUGGGGGGGUUUUUUAUUAUUAAAUUAAUUUUUUAAAAAACAAAAAAGAAAAGUUAAAAAUUUCCCCAAUUUUCGAAAAAAAAGGGAUUUGGGCCCCAAAAAUUUUAUUUUUUUUUUUGCCCAAAAAAACCCCAGGGAGCCCGUGUUUUCACCACCCCCCCCCCCCCCGGAUCCAUUUUUGGGUGUUUAAAGCGCCUUUCUAGCGCACCAAAGGGGGGAGAGUAUAUAAGAAAGCGGA
Molecule: ribosomal RNA, 736 nt
Filed under: Funneliformis mosseae
Lineage: Eukaryota; Fungi; Glomeromycota; Glomeromycetes; Glomerales; Glomeraceae
Description: partial 18S ribosomal RNA
Rfam family: Eukaryotic small subunit ribosomal RNA
Source: RNAcentral